Equus caballus (horse) is the source of this 96-nucleotide non-coding RNA. The record is from Rfam. NCBI's taxonomy places the organism in Eukaryota, Metazoa, Chordata, Mammalia, Perissodactyla, Equidae.
CUGAGAGGCACCCCUCUUCUGUUGCACAUUCACUCACAUGGCAGAUCUGGUGGACUCUCUAAAAUGCUUUUCAAACAUAUCUUUCAUAAUUCAUCC